GGCGGGCACCCGGAGGCGGCCCAGGCGGGGGUCUCCCCCGGGGCCUGGGGCGGGCCGAAGAUGUCCAGGCCUGGCCGGAGCCGCCUCCUGAUUGACGAGGCCCGCAUGGGAGUGCGGACGUGCAGCACAGAUUUGCGGGUCUCCUGGGCCUCUUGGGCGGUGAUCAGCGCGGACCUUGGGCCAACCGGGGAAGCAGGCCGGAGCACUACCCCCCACCCCCAUUUUAGAACAUCCUUCUGAGGGCUUCGCUGACCUCGGCUUGAACUCCUUCAGAGCCGGAGAGAUCACUCCUUCCACCACCGAGGGAGAGGAGGCAAAAUGAAUUUGCCAGCUUUGAAUUCAUUCUCAAGGCUCCGCUAGUCUCACAGCCAGUGAACUCAGUCUGGAAUUCCUGAAAGCUCAGAAAACUGCUGCUUAGGUCCACCCGGGCGUGGGGGACGGGGUGGCAGCUGAGCAUCCCUGGAGAGGGUGGGUGGUAUGAAAGCACUUCCAGACCUCUAGGGACACCAGGGAGUCAUGGUCCCAGCACAUUGCUGUGUGAUUGAGCCCCUCCUCAGCCUGUGGGUGGCCUAAGUUCACAGGGAGGUAAUGGGGUAGAUUGGAUACCUCUGGGGUCUUGGAAGAAGCUAUGACUUAUUUACUGUCUACUAUGUGCUGAAGCCACUUGCUCAGAGCCGCACAGCAAGCCCACCACCCUGAACCUCCAGAUUACCAACUCAGCAUUGUGUCCUGACAGUGUCAUCAUAGAUGGUCAACACCGUCACCUGGGCAGCACUGAAGCCCAGAGCGGGAGAGACUGGCUCAAGACCAUGGUGAUGUUCCUUUUCCUGUCACCAACACACACAGCACACAGAGAAGUUUGUUUCUGUUGCUUUAAAAAAGUUUCCUUCUGGGGAGGAGGGCAAGGGGUUGUUUACUGGGCCUGCAAAGCCUCACCGUGGGUGUGGGCAUGGGUGUGGCAUGGGUGUGGGUGGCAACUGGGUCCCUGCUGGAUUUGGGGUUGGUGGAGGCUGCACCCACGACCCUGGGCCUCUGGAUCCUGUGCAAAAGCCAGGAACGUGGAAGGAAAACCUCCUGUGCACCCUGCUCAGGGCUGGGCUGGUUCACCCACCGUCCAGCCACACUCCUGCAGAAACCUGGGAGGUCAGGGGUUUUGUUUUCCAUUUUCCACAGGAGACAGCUGAGGCUCGGCCAAGGUUGCCAGGGUCCAAGCCUAUGGAUUUGUGGUCUGGGCUCUGCCAGUGGCAUGGCACUGUCUUCAAAGCUCCCACCCUACCAUUUUUCUUACCCACACAGGGCAGGCUCGACCCAGCUAAGGAACACAGCUUCCUGAAGCAUCUGUCCUGGGCCGUUGGCCCUUCUGUGGACAGGGCUUGAGCUCUGUAGGCUGGAUUUGAAUUUCAAGUCCUCCUGCUGUGUGACCUUGAACAAGUUACUUAGCCUCUCUGAGCAUCAAAUGGCUUAACUAUCAAAUAAGAAGCACAGAGAAGUCCCCAAGAGCCAGUAGACUCUGGAGGCUGUGAGACCGGGGACUGGGGCUCCUGCAUCCUUAAUGAAGGUUUCAGUCUUGAGUCGCGUCUGGGAGACCUGCUGAAGCAAUGGGGAGCUACUGUAG
RNAcentral lists this long non-coding RNA (1615 nucleotides) under Homo sapiens (human). RNAcentral describes it as "HSALNT0358729". The record is from RNAcentral. Lineage: Eukaryota; Metazoa; Chordata; Mammalia; Primates; Hominidae.